ACUUUUUUAGUAUAAUUAAUAUAUUUGACUUCCAAUCAAAAGAUCUUAUUUUAAGAAAAAGUA
This 63-nucleotide transfer RNA is filed under the name Clavigralla tomentosicollis. RNAcentral's name for it is "tRNA-Gly". It matches the Rfam family "tRNA". From Rfam's summary of the family: Transfer RNA (tRNA) molecules are approximately 80 nucleotides in length. RNAcentral also lists the same sequence under 1 other name. Lineage: Eukaryota; Metazoa; Arthropoda; Insecta; Hemiptera; Coreidae. The record is from RNAcentral.